Molecule: transfer RNA, 69 nt
Filed under: Cnemaspis limi
Lineage: Eukaryota; Metazoa; Chordata; Lepidosauria; Squamata; Gekkonidae
Description: tRNA-Thr
Source: RNAcentral
CCCUUCGUAGCUUAAAUUAAGUAAAGCAUUGGCCUUGUAAACCAAAAAUGGGUAUGCAACCCCAAGAGC